CCUACGGGUGGCUGCAGUGAGGAAUAUUGGUCAAUGGGCUUAAGCCUGAACCAGCCAAGUCGCGUGAGGGAAGACUGCCCUAUGGGUUGUAAACCUCUUUUGUCAGGGAGAAAAGCCGGCUACGUGUAGCCGGACGGAGAGUACCUGAAGAAAAAGCAUCGGCUAACUCCGUGCCAGCAGCCGCGGUAAUACGGAGGAUGCGAGCGUUAUCCGGAUUUAUUGGGUUUAAAGGGUGCGCAGGCGGAGGUGCAAGUCAGCGGUCAAAUUGCGGGGCUCAACCCCGUACUGCCGUUGAAACUGCAUGCCUUGAGUGCGCGAGAAGUAUGCGGAAUGCGUGGUGUAGCGGUGAAAUGCAUAGAUAUCACGCAGAACUCCGAUUGCGAAGGCAGCAUACCGGCGCGCAACUGACGCUCAUGCACGAAAGCGUGGGUAUCGAACAGGAUUAGAUACCCCAGUAGUC
This 460-nucleotide ribosomal RNA is filed under the name uncultured bacterium. Its description in RNAcentral is "partial 16S ribosomal RNA". It matches the Rfam family "Bacterial small subunit ribosomal RNA", at positions 338 to 795 of the family's 1533-position model. The record is from RNAcentral.